Molecule: non-coding RNA, 89 nt
Filed under: uncultured Anaeroplasma sp.
Lineage: Bacteria; Bacillati; Mycoplasmatota; Mollicutes; Anaeroplasmatales; Anaeroplasmataceae
Description: Purine riboswitch
Rfam family: Purine riboswitch aptamer (bases 12-89)
About the family: Riboswitches are metabolite binding domains within certain messenger RNAs that serve as precision sensors for their corresponding targets. Allosteric rearrangement of mRNA structure is mediated by ligand binding, and this results in modulation of gene expression.
Source: RNAcentral
AGAGUAUUGUUUUUUGGUAUAAUAGCUUUAAUAUGGAAAGCAAGUCUCUACCCUGAACCGCAAAUUACAGGACUACCAAAAAAUAUAAU